UUCCUGCUACUACAAGCCUCACACUGUGCUCGCGGGUCACGGAAGUCGCCUGCUGGCCGAGCUAGCUAGCCAACCCAGCGAGUCGCUGCAGCCUCCAACGCCUCCUCGACGCGUCCAAUCGCCGAAGCUGCCUUCGUCCACGCCACCACGGAAGCACGAGCUCUACGCAUGAAACCCCGUCCGAGCACUUCCGGUGACCAGCCAGGUCAUGUCGCGACCCCUCCCCUGCUCCUCUUUCCUUUCGUCCCAUCUUUUCUUCUCCUCCCAGUCUCACCUUGUUCCUCUCUCUGUGUGCAACCACGAAUAGAAGUAGCGAGCAGCGCCAGGGAAGGCUACCGUCAGGGGCAUCACCAGGGUCCUCCUCGACACCAGAUCUAGCGCCUCAGCACCACACCCCUGCCAUUUGGCCACCCUAAACGCCCGUGCUCGCCUCCCGACGCAUGGCGUUGCCUCUGCAUCCUCUACUUCGAGCAGGAGGUCCCAAUGGACAGCCGAUGGAGCUCCGCCAACAUUGCCAUGGUCAACUUCGACCUCUCCCGCGGCCAGAAACGGUGCCCAGCCACCGGAUCCGACAUCUUCGCACCUUCCCCGUCGUCGAUUUGCACCAGAUCGAGAGGAUCUCAACACUGUCGACCUCUUGUACCUCCCCGUUGACCUCGUCCCAAGUCCCAACCUCCACGUGGUAGACGACGCAACAGCGCCAGCCUCGCACGCGCCCACGUUCGGGCCAGCCAGCCCGGCCUUGGGCGGCCCAGCUGCGCGGUGAGCCCAGCUCGCACCUGGCCUAGCCCUGCCCACGGCCCACCAGCCUCCUCAGCAUGCCCCGCCCUGCCUCCUCCAUCGACCUGGGCUAGCCCAGCAUGGUGAGCCGCCCCUCCGCCUAUCCAGCGCCCAGUGCGCUCUGUGCUUAUCUAGCGCCCAUGUCCAGUUUAGGGUCCUAUUGCACUUUCGGCUGAGUGCAUGUUUAUUCCCAACGCAUUUCCUAUUUAUCAGAGCUUUAAUAAUUAAAGACUAAUGCCUGAUUUUAAAAUGGUAGUAACUUUUCAACCAUACCCCGGAUUAAAAUAAUUUAAAUAUGUAAAAUGUUCAUAAUUUUGUGUAGUUUCACAAUACCCAACUAUCAUGCUUGUUUAAAAUGUUUAAACUUGGUGUUUAACUAAAUUUACAUAGAUGUCAUGUUAAAACGGUUUAAUCUAUAACUAAUUAAUCAUAUGUUCGAUUAAAAUGUUCCUCAUAUGUAACUUGGCUAGAAAAAUGUGUAGAAUAACAUGCUAGCAUUUAUUUUCUGCUUAAUUACUCUAAAAAUUGUGUUAUAGGCAGAACCGUAACGAACCUUAAUUUGCAUGUGGUGACAUUCCGGAAUUGUAAUUUGUUGUUCCGACCUCAUUUAAACUUGCAUAUAAUUUUAUAUAGUUUCAUAGAAUCUUGUUGCAUCCAUCUUUAUCAUGUUUGGGGCUGUCAUUGUGUUGAUCAUAUCUUCUAGAGCGUAACUCCGUUUUACAUUGUCUAUAUAUGUAAAUCAACUAGAAUGACGUGUAGAAUCACAUUGUUCACUUUAUUUUAUUGUUAAAAUGUGUGUAGUGCAGAUAAGGACCAAUUUAGAAAUUAAUAUAUGGGGUCAUUUUGGAGAUGCUAUAUGUUGUUUGACACCUCAUUUAAUAUGCCUAGAUAUAUAGUUUAUUUAUGCUUCACCUCUUUUCAUGUUUAACAACAUUUAAUAUUGUCAUGUACCUAAAUAGGAGUAACUAAGUAAUUCAAAUAUGGAGUUUCAUCAUUAUGAAACUCAUUGCAUAUUGAGCUUCAUUUAAUGUAUAGUAAUAAAUUGUUGCGUGUUGUUGUGUCAUGCAUAAUUAAAUGGACAUGCAUAAUAAUUGCUCGCACAUCAUGUCAUGUAUAUGUUGUGGUGUUUAUCGUGUAUUGAUUGUUGUUUCUGAAUUUCUUCUUCUUCAUAGAGUAUUGAACCGUUUCGAAGUGUGAGGAUUCGUUUAACUACGUUGGUUCGUCUGUUUCAUGGAUUCGUUCUUUUCCAAGCACGAUCACAUGCAAGAUGNNNNNNNNNNNNNNNNNNNNNNNNNNNNNNNNNNNNNNNNNNNNUCCCUACAUACCAUUACUAUCAUUGCCAUGCUAGUUGUUUCGUUUUCUAUCACUAUGUCUCGCUACCUACCACUUAAAUGUUAGCCUCCCAACAUUGCCACGAAAAUCCUCUAACCUUUCCACAACCUAGCAAACCACUGUUUGGCUAUGUUACCGCUUGCUCAACCUUCUUAUAGCGUUACUAAUGGCAGGUGCAGUUGCUUCCAUGUGAAAACAUGGGUUCCUUGUUAUAAAACCAUAUUAUUGCUAUUUAAUCUAAUGCACCCAUUAUACCUGGUAAAAGGCGAAAGGUUUGGCCUUUUAGAUGGGUGUUUUGUUCCGCUUUGGCCGCCUUAUUUUUGACUAGCGGUGUUAAGUUUCAUAUUGAGCGCUCCUAACAUGCUUGGGGUUGUUAUGGGGACCCCCUUGACUUUCGUUUUACGAUAAUACUCGUCUCGCAAGGCCCAAGAUUGGUACUAUAUUUUCCCAAUAUAAUUAUACUGAUAAUUAAUUUGACACAUAGAGAGUUAGUGCUACCCGAGCGGUAAUUCAACAUAAUACAGGGAGCCAGUGCUGAUGGUGCUGGUCCUAAACAAAGUAUUGUGCGGGGCCAACCCAGAGCAACUUGGGAGAUUUCUAUAAGGCACCCGUAUGCAUAGCUUAUCUGUUGUGUCGUGCGAACGAGAUACGCGACUCCUAUCGGGAUCGUCGACACGUCGGGCGGCCUUGCUGGAUUUGUUUUACCUAUACCGAAAGUCUUGUGCGAGGAAUUCUGAGGAUACUUUAGGCUAUCUCGAGGUUGAGGUUUUCCACUAGGAAUCCGAGGAUAUCACGGGUUUUCUGUAGUCAAGGUUUCUGAUGCAGCUUGUGGUUGUUUGUGAUGGAAUAGUUAGAGCAUCCCUAUAGGGUUAAAUCUUUCAGAAAGCCGUGCCCGUGGUUAUGAGGCAACUUGGAAACUUUGUUUAAUAUCCAAUUUUAGAUAACUUGAAGUAACUUAAUUAAAAUAUGCCAACUAUGUGCAUAACCGUGGCUGUCUCUUCUCGUGAGUUCUGCAUAUAGAAGAGGAGACAAUGGGGUUAUGUGUGACAUAUGUAGGUGUUCAAGAUCACUUCGUGAUCACUCCAGUUCACGUCCGUUUAUGUGUAGAUCAUCCCCUUUUAUUCUUGUACUCGUCUGUUAGCCACACAAAUAAAUGCUUAGUUGCUUGAUGGAGCCUUACCACUUAACCAUACUUCACCCAUUAAACGUCGCUAGUCUUGAUACCUUUGUAAAUGAGAUUGCUAAGUCCGUGUGGCUCACAGAUUGCUACAACAAUAGGUGCAGGUAUAUGUAAAGCGAUAAUUUGACAUGAGCGCGAUGAUUGUUUUAUUUGGAGUUUCUUCUUCUUGUUGUUCAUCAUUCUAAGAUGUUUUCCAGGCCAGCAGCUUGGGAUAGCAAGGAUGCACGGCGUUCUUUUAUCAUUUGUUUUCAUCCGUAGUUGAACGCUCCUCUUCUACACGAUGAUUUAAUAUAUUGUUCUAUUGUGUUGUUCAUGUUGUAGCUUGUGGCGAGUGUAAGCCAAUUUCAUAUACCCAUCUCUUUUGAACAUGUACUUGUAAUGAUAUCCAUUCUUGCAAAAAUGAGGAGAUGCGCUU
RNAcentral lists this long non-coding RNA (3707 nucleotides) under Hordeum vulgare. RNAcentral's name for it is "long non-coding RNA (HVUL_LNC012407)". Lineage: Eukaryota; Viridiplantae; Streptophyta; Magnoliopsida; Poales; Poaceae. The record is from RNAcentral.